UACGUAGGGGGCUAGCGUUGUCCGGAAUUACUGGGCGUAAAGGGCGCGUAGGCGGCACAGCAAGUCGGGAGUGAAAGCCCGGGGCUCAACCCCGGAACGGCUUUCGAAACUGCUGAGCUAGAGUACAGAAGGGGCAACCGGAAUUCCCAGUGUAGCGGUGAAAUGCGUAGAUAUUGGGAAGAACACCUGAGGCGAAGGCGGGUUGCUGGGCUGAUACUGACGCUGAGGCGCGAAAGCCAGGGGAGCAAACGGG
RNAcentral lists this ribosomal RNA (253 nucleotides) under uncultured bacterium. Its description in RNAcentral is "partial 16S ribosomal RNA". It matches the Rfam family "Bacterial small subunit ribosomal RNA", at positions 524 to 776 of the family's 1533-position model. The record is from RNAcentral.